GGCUGCUCCUGGGGCCCAGCUGCCUGUCCUGCUCUCUGCCUUAUCCCAGCCCCUUGGUUGACGGUCGCCUCAGAGAAGCCCUGGAUGAGGCUGAAGACACAUCUAACAAGGAGGACACAGCACAGCACAAAUGCACACCACCACAGGACACAACCCGAUGACAGCAGACAAAGAGAGGCCGUACUCGGUCUUUGCUGGCGCAGGCGAAACAGAGCUGUCUGCAGUGGAAGGAGCAAGCUCAGGGGCUUGUCCACUGGCCCCAGCGGCGGGAGCAGGAGAGCCCAGGGCUGCAAAAACAUCCUUUGCAAGGGUUCCAAAUGGAGAACGUGCAAUGUAAGGAAAGGCACCAGCUGAUGGUGCAGGGUGGUGCAGCUGCUGGGUCCCUGGGCUGGAGCAGAGCCCAAACCUCAGCAAGGUGGACAGGUCUGCACUCACGAGAAGGCGGCCUUGCCCUCCUCCAUGUCCUUGCCCUUGGCCCCAGGCCCGGCUUUUCCACACAGGUUGACCGCAAUGCACAUGAACAGGCCACACUUGUUCAGGAAGUAGCAGGUGAUGUCCACAACCACCAGGAGCAGGACGAAGAUGACGAUGAGGAUGCCCACGAUGGCCCCGGUGCUCAGGCCUGAGGAAUGACCCCAAAGGAGCCCUGCAUUAGAGCACACUGGGUUCAUGGUUUACCCUCCUCACUGCACCCCAGGAAGACGACUGAAGCCCGGGUGACUCCAGAGACAUGGAGGCCUCCCCAGGCCGUGGGCAAGGUGAAAGGUCUGGGAAUACUCACCAUCUAGGAGCUCAGGCCUGCUUGGACCAGACUUCAGGAAAACCUGAAGUGAGUGCAGACUCACUCAGAGGUGCACACACACACAGGCACACUCACACGCAGGAUAAAUGCCCAUGCAGACAGGCAUGCACUCUCACAUUCUAGCACCUGGCACCCUGGUUCUGGCUGGACUCACUGUGAAAGACUCAGCCUGUGUCUUGCUUCCCUGGUGCCCAUCUGCAAUCCCCCCAGGGUCUUUGGCUAUUGAUGGUUUCACAGAGAGACCUGGACUCAGCUCUCUGGGGCCCCUGGGAGAUCAACCCAUGGUUACGAUUGACACUAGUUGCCUGGGAUGGACCAAUCGACCUCUUGGUGGUUCCCAUCAGUGUCUGGGAGACAGUGGUCAUGAUGCAGGAAGCAAGGACCCAUGUGGAGCUCUGCCAUUAAGUCGAUGUGGGAACAAUCACCCUCGACUGAAAUAUGGGCACUUCUAAUUCAUCUUUCCUCCAGAACAACCUGCUUCCAUAACUGGCAGCCCUGCCCCACCAGUAGACUAUGUCUAAAGCUUCCUGUGCUCUCAGGGCCAACUGAAGCCACCCAGGACUGCAGACUGAAGAUGGGAACUGUAGCCAGCACUACCUGGGGCUCACCCCACCAGCCACCCCACUCCCAACCCAGCUCGCUAGGCUUUGCCAAGCACCAGGCCAGGCUCAGCAGCUUGCGAGCCAUGUAACAUGCCAGAUAGAUAGUGGAGGGAACAUGUAACUGAGUAACCAGCACCAGAGCUGGGCCACACAUUCUUUGUUUUUCAUGCAGCCUGUAUUUGCGGGAGGGUGGUGGUAUUGAUGGCUCUGUGUGCCCCAGGGGUCUCUGUCCAGGCACUCUAGUGCUUCUCUGGUGGCUGUCCCUCUCCACUGGUCCAUAUUUCAAACUUCAGUUUGGGGAACGGGCCAUCAGCCUAGCAUGCCAGAGAGGAUCCCUCACAAACGACUCCUGAGACCCCUGGGUGCAGCUCGCACACGUUUUUAGUCCCUUUGGGACCUUGGCUUGCCUCCCAGCCCUUCUUCCUCAGGCUCUCUGGCUGGUCCCUGCUGACCUCGCACUGAAGAUCCUAGCGCAUUCCCCCAGGAAGGCUUGAGAUGGCGAAGAACUCUGCUUGGAGAACCCAGCUCUGGACACCUGUCUCUGGGCUUUGGCAGCAGGAAGCUGGCCACUGGCCUUAGCUGUCAGCUAGAAUGGGUCAUUUUCUUAGCAGCCAUGAAUGCAGAGGUAUUUCUGGUUAGUCUCAUAAGAACAAAACCAUCCACUUCCCCAGAGUCCUCACACAUUCCACCCAAAAAGCAAAGGAGACACAGGCCUUCUUGGUCUUCAGGAUCCCAUAGCUGUUUCCCCGAACAGGGAAGAAACUUUAGCCUUGGGUUUUCUCUCCAUUCCAUGACACAGGGCUCCAGGCCACUGCAGCUUCCGGACAUCAGUACCCGAUAGGUGUAAAGUGCCUACUCCCUGAAGAAAGAUCUGAAAAUAUUUUUUUGAUGACAGUGGGGAAUAUGUCUGGAUUUUUGGACUCAAUGGCACUAAUUAUAUCUUCUGAGGUUUAUGUGUAAAUAUGAUUUUGUGAAACUAAUCAUAUCUCUAAAGAGGAAAAAUAAACUCCUGCAAAGCUGCUCUAUGUGCUUGAGAGGACAGCAGCUGGGACAACUGCUCUGUGCUCAUCAGACCCAGCUGGAGGGCGGCACUGGCACUGCGCACAUCCAGGGGAGGGCCAGGCAGGGAAAAGGCUUCUGAACUGUGGCAUAAACAAGUAGGGCAGCGGCCUCCCCUUUCAUUUGAAUAUAAAAUUCAAAGUCUUUCUCCCGGCCUAAAAGGCCCACCAUCUGCUGCAGACUCUGCCCACUCCUCUGUUGGGCCUCAUGGCGUGAACCGGCAGCCUCCCUUCUGCCUGCUGAACACAUCCAGCUCAACCCGCUUUAGGGCCUUGAUGAUUCUGUGCCUGGAACGCUCUCUCUGGGGUGGCUCUCUGUUGUCCUGCAGGCCUCAGUCCCAGUGUCACCUUCUCAGAGAAGCCUUAUCUGAUCUCUUAUCUAGUGUGGCACCUCCAGCCAAUACCUACCAUGCUGCUAGCCUGUUUUAUUCUCUUCUUACUACUAUCUGCCACUUUCUGUUCAUUUACAUGCUUAUGAUCUAGCCAUCCCCCCUAGGACAUUCCAGCAGGUACCCUGCCUGUCUCUCUCGUAUCUCCCCAGCAUCUAGGACAAUCCUGAUUCACAGAAAAUGUUCAAAGAAUACUUGUUGCACAAA
Gorilla gorilla gorilla (western lowland gorilla) is the source of this 3058-nucleotide long non-coding RNA. RefSeq lists it as uncharacterized. NCBI's taxonomy places the organism in Eukaryota, Metazoa, Chordata, Mammalia, Primates, Hominidae. The transcript is spliced from 3 exons. The record is from RefSeq and is a predicted model, not a curated record.